RNAcentral lists this long non-coding RNA (207 nucleotides) under Mytilus galloprovincialis (Mediterranean mussel). Lineage: Eukaryota; Metazoa; Mollusca; Bivalvia; Mytilida; Mytilidae. The record is from RNAcentral.
GUGGUAUGAUUGCCAAUGAGAAAACUAGUCACAAGUUAAAAUGACAUGGAUUUUAGGCAUUUAUAGGUCACAGUAUGGCCUUCAACAAUGAGUAAAACCUAUUCUGGAUAGACAGCUAUAUGAGGUUCAGACAUGAAACGUGUGAAACAAUUCAAACGAGGGAAAAAAUGUCAUAAGUUGUAACGAUACAAUUUACGAAAAGAAAAA